Molecule: long non-coding RNA, 277 nt
Filed under: Elaeis guineensis (African oil palm)
Lineage: Eukaryota; Viridiplantae; Streptophyta; Magnoliopsida; Arecales; Arecaceae
Description: long non-coding RNA (EGUI_LNC013006)
Source: RNAcentral
UAGGCAAUGAGGAGUCUAGUAUCACUGGGUCCAAUCUGAGAAGUCUUUAGACUCAGUACUCUAUCCCUUCUUCUUUCUAAUUAGAAGUUCUUGAUCAGGAAGACUGAGUCACCAAGGUUCCGAAGGGACAAGUCACCAUAAACGAGGAGGCCCUUUGAACCGGCAUUCGCCUUCCACUUCAUCCCUUCAUUAGUAAUAACUUAGAUUUCUAUAGGAUUCUUCCAACUCAGAUCAUCCCAAACUCAACUCAGAUGAUCAUUAUUUUCAUUAUUCUUUG